RNAcentral lists this ribosomal RNA (467 nucleotides) under uncultured bacterium. RNAcentral describes it as "partial 16S ribosomal RNA". It matches the Rfam family "Bacterial small subunit ribosomal RNA", at positions 28 to 507 of the family's 1533-position model. The record is from RNAcentral.
GACGAACGCUGGCGGCGUGCUUAACACAUGCAAGUCGAACGGAAAGGCCCUGCUUUUGUGGGGUGCUCGAGUGGCGAACGGUGAGUAACACGUGAGUCACCUGCCCUUGACUUUGGGAUAACUUCAGGAAACUGGUGCUAAUACCGGAUAGGAGCUCCUGCUGCAUGGUGGGGGUUGGAAAGUUUCGGCGGUUGGGGAUGGACUCGCGGCUUAUCAGCUUGUUGGUGGGGUAGUGGCUUACCAAGGCUUUGACGGGUAGCCGGCCUGAGAGGGUGACCGGCCACAUUGGGACUGAGAUACGGCCCAGACUCCUACGGGAGGCAGCAGUGGGGAAUAUUGCACAAUGGGCGGAAGCCUGAUGCAGCAACGCCGCGUGCGGGAUGACGGCCUUCGGGUUGUAAACCGCUUUCGCCUGUGACGAAGCGUGAGUGACGGUAAUGGGUAAAGAAGCACCGGCUAACUACGUG